GCCACUGUGGCUCAAUGGCAGAGCUUCAGCUUUGCAUGCCAAAGAUCCCAGGUUCAAUUCCUAGCAUCACCAGGUAGGGCU
Molecule: non-coding RNA, 81 nt
Organism: Podarcis lilfordi (Lilford's wall lizard)
Lineage: Eukaryota; Metazoa; Chordata; Lepidosauria; Squamata; Lacertidae
Source: the annotation of a GenBank genome assembly